UACGGAGGGGGCGAGCGUUAUCCGGAUUCACUGGGUGUAAAGGGAGCGUAGACGGCCAUGCAAGCCAGGGGUGAAAGCCCGGGGCUCAACUCCGGGACUGCUUUUGAAACUGUGUAACUGGAGUACAGGAGGGGCAGGCGGAAUUCCUGGUGUAGCGGUGAAAUGCGUAGAUAUCAGGAGGAACACCGGCGGCGAAGGCGGCCUGCUGGACUGAAACUGACGUUGAGGCUCGAAAGCGUGGGGAGCAAACAGG
RNAcentral lists this ribosomal RNA (253 nucleotides) under uncultured Eubacteriales bacterium. RNAcentral's name for it is "uncultured Clostridiales bacterium partial 16S ribosomal RNA". It matches the Rfam family "Bacterial small subunit ribosomal RNA", at positions 524 to 776 of the family's 1533-position model. The record is from RNAcentral. Lineage: Bacteria; Bacillati; Bacillota; Clostridia; Eubacteriales.